This 704-nucleotide ribosomal RNA is filed under the name uncultured eukaryote. RNAcentral's name for it is "bacterial SSU rRNA". It matches the Rfam family "Bacterial small subunit ribosomal RNA", at positions 8 to 739 of the family's 1533-position model. The record is from RNAcentral.
AGAGUUUGAUCAUGGCUCAGGAUGAACGCUGGCGAGAUGCUUUACACAUGCAAGUCGUACGAAAGUUUUUAACUUAAGUGGCGGACGGGUGAGUAACACGUAAGAAUUUACCUUUAGGAGGGGGAUAACAACUGGAAACGGUUGCUAAUACCCCAUAUGCUUUCGAGUGAAAUGGAUUUUUCCGCCUAGAGAGAAGCUUGCGGCUGAUUAGCUUGUUGGUGAGGUAAUGGCUCACCAAGGCGACGAUCAGUAUCUGGUUUGAGAGGACGAUCAGACACACUGGAACUGAGACACGGUCCAGACUCCUACGGGAGGCAGCAGUGGGGAAUUUUCCGCAAUGGGCGAAAGCCUGACGGAGCAAUCUCGCGUGAGGGAUGACGGCCUAUGGGUUGUAAACCUCUUUUUUCAGGGAGGAAUAAAAUGACGUGUACCUGAAGAAUAAGCAUCGGCUAACUCCGUGCCAGCAGCCGCGGUAAGACGGAGGAUGCAAGUGUUAUCCGGAAUCACUGGGCGUAAAGCGUCUGUAGGUGGUUUAGUAAGUCAACUGUUAAAUCUUGAAGCUCAACUUCNAAAACUGCAGUCGAAACUACUAGACUAGAGUAUAGUAGAGGUAAAAGGGGAAUUUUCCAGUGGAGCGGGUGAAAUGCCGUAGAGAUNGGAAAAGAACACCCNAUGGGCGAAAGGCACUUUACUGGGGCUUAUUA